AGAGAGAGACAUGCGCGCAUAUCAAUAAGCGGAGGAAAAGAAACUAACAAGGAUUCCCCUAGUAACGGCGAGUGAAGCGGGAAGAGCUCAAAUCUGAAAUCUUAAAGGGUUUCCCUUUACGAAUUGUAGUUUAAAGAAGUGUUUUCUGUUGAGGUUUUGGUAAAAGUUCUUUGGAAUAGGACAUCAUAGAGGGUGAGAAUCCCGUAUUUGACCUUUACUUUCAACUUUGUGAUACACUUUCAAAGAGUCGGAUUGUUUGGGAAUGCAGUCCAAAAUGGGUGGUAAAUUUCAUCUAAAGCUAAAUAUUGGCGAGAGACCGAUAGCGAACAAGUACCGUGAGGGAAAGAUGAAAAGAACUUUGAAAAGAGAGUUAAACAGUACGUGAAAUUGUCAAAAGGGAAGCGUUUGACACCAGUGUUGUUUUUCUGAAAAUCAAUUAAAGAACUGUUUAUGCUAAGUUGUUUAGACUUUAUCAGCUAACUGUUUAGUUUUGAGCUUUUCUUUAAUGCACUUUUCAGUUAACAAGUCAACAUCAAUUUCUUUUGCUGUAAAAAAGCUUGAGGAAGGUGGCUUGAGAUUCGUCUUAAGUGUUUAUAGCCUCUUGCCUAUGCAGUCGGAGAGAUUGAGGUCUGCAGCGUAGAUCCUUCGGGGCUAAAUGCAUUUGUGCUAAGUUAUAGCAUUUUAUAGACAACUUGUUGACUAUGAUUUGUCUUGUAGCUUACUCGCUUAUGUUAUUUUACCUACGCUUAGGAUGUUGACGCAUGAGAUAUACGC
RNAcentral lists this ribosomal RNA (774 nucleotides) under uncultured Neocallimastigales. RNAcentral describes it as "partial large subunit ribosomal RNA". It matches the Rfam family "Eukaryotic large subunit ribosomal RNA", at positions 23 to 646 of the family's 3401-position model. Lineage: Eukaryota; Fungi; Neocallimastigomycota; Neocallimastigomycetes; Neocallimastigales. The record is from RNAcentral.